This 346-nucleotide ribosomal RNA is filed under the name uncultured bacterium. Its description in RNAcentral is "partial 16S ribosomal RNA". It matches the Rfam family "Bacterial small subunit ribosomal RNA", at positions 338 to 681 of the family's 1533-position model. The record is from RNAcentral.
CCUACGGGUGGCUGCAGUGAGGAAUAGUGGUCAAUGGACGCAAGUCUGAACCAGCCAUGCCGCGUGCAGGAAGACGGCUCUAUGAGUUGUAAACUGCUUUUGUACGAGGGUAAACGCAGAUACGCGUAGCUGUCUGAAAGUAGCGUACGAAUAAGGAUCGGCUAACUCCGUGCCAGCAGCCGCGGUAAGACGGAGGAUUCAAGCGUUAUCCGGAUGUAUGGGGUUUAAAGGGUGCGUAGGCGGUCGGAUAAGUUAGAGGUGAAAUCCCGAGGCUCAACUUCGGAAUUGCCUCUGAUACUGUUCGGCUAGUGCUUAGUUGCGGUAGGCGUAAUGUCUGGUGUCGCGG